This 354-nucleotide ribosomal RNA is filed under the name Macroderes foveatus. Its description in RNAcentral is "partial large subunit ribosomal RNA". The record is from RNAcentral. Lineage: Eukaryota; Metazoa; Arthropoda; Insecta; Coleoptera; Scarabaeidae.
UUUUGAUUAUAAUUUAAAGUCUGACCUGCCCUAUGAUUUAUUGUUAAAUGGCCGCGAUAUUUUGAUCGUGCAAAGGUAGCAUAAUAAUUAGUUUUUUAAUUGAGAACUGGUAUGAAUGGUUGAACGAGAAAAAAACUGUCUCAAUUUAAAUUUAAUUAGAAUUUUAUUUUUAAGUUAAAAAGCUUAAAUAUUUUUAAAAGACGAGAAGACCCUAUAGAGUUUUAUAUAAAUUUAUUAUUUAAAAAAAUUUAAGAAUUUUAAAUUUAUUUAUAUAAAUUUAUAUUUAAUUGGGGUGAUUAAAAAAUUUAAGGAACUUUUUUUAAAUUUAAACAUAAAUUUAUGAAUAGAUGAUCC